Molecule: non-coding RNA, 423 nt
Organism: Labeo rohita (rohu)
Lineage: Eukaryota; Metazoa; Chordata; Actinopteri; Cypriniformes; Cyprinidae
Source: the annotation of a RefSeq genome assembly
AUGGAGGAGAGGCAGAUGCUACUCAUGAUACUCAUCACAGUUUCAGGUGUCAGUUUUGGGAAUGUCAUCACACCAGUUGAAACUCAAAUGUCUGGGACAGAAGGAGACAUUAUAAGUCUCUCCUGUAGCUACUCGUCUGCAAAUAGUCUGCUUUGGUAUCGCCAAUAUCCCGGAUCGGUUCCUGAAUUUCUUUAUGUUAUUCUUUAUGCCACUGGGGCAGUUUUGCAAAAAUCUAAAGUUGUGGAUCAAGAUCCUCGAUUCUCUGCAAAACUGAAUGAAAAGAAAACCCAUGUGAACUUGGAGAUCUCCUCUGUCAAAGUGACAGACUCUGCGAUGUACUACUGUGCCAUGGAGCCCACAGUGACAGGAAAACAAACAACACUGUACAAAAACCUCACUUACUGUACUGUGGGAAUGUCUUGA